This is a non-coding RNA of Chiloscyllium plagiosum (whitespotted bambooshark), 1617 nucleotides long. NCBI's taxonomy places the organism in Eukaryota, Metazoa, Chordata, Chondrichthyes, Orectolobiformes, Hemiscylliidae. The record is from RefSeq and is a predicted model, not a curated record.
UCAGAGGGAACCAGCUUAGUCUAACUUUGCUGCCUUUCAUGUGAACACCUCCAUAAUAAAGCUCCUGCUGUUUAAUGCCUUGGCCUCCUGGUCCUCCUACCAACUUAACAAGACAUCCUGAUAACCAUGAGUGAAGUGGAUGGGAACCAUGUUCAGAUAAAAAAUGUUACUGUUCUGCAAGCCCUUGGUGCUACAAGUGAAGGAACCUCACUGCAAUACAGGUGUCAACAAGAAUUGCUGUGUGAGAUCAAAAAGUUUUGAAAAUCUGCCGAAUAAUAUGUCUGGAAAAAGCUAUUGCCCAAUAAAUAGCUCUUAAAAAAUGUGACUUUAACUGGCAGUAUUAUGCCUAUGAUACAGGCUGGUCGCAGGUGGCAUUUGCAGCAGGUGGCAUAGCUCUGUGACUGUCUCAUUGCUUGCUCAGAGGGUAAUGGAAACCGUUAUCUCCAACUAUUGCCAGCUAUGUGAAUGAUUGCCGAGGUGAAAUAAGUUUGGAUUGUCUGCUGAUUUCUCAGCUUAUGCAAUUUAUCAUGAAAUGUUAUACUUUGGGAUAUUUUUCAGGUUAUUCCCAUUCUUGGUUUGACAGUGAUUUGGCGUUUGGCGUAGGACUCCAGCUUCAUGUUGGCUUCUCGCUCACCAAGCCAAAGUAAAAAAAACCUUUUGUACAAGCCUCGUUCCAUGUCUGCUGUGUUCUUCCUGCAUCUGCUCAAUGUUUUUAAAUCAUUUUGGCAAUUGGUAACCUUUUGCAGAUUUGCUACGGAAUAUUGGAUUGUUAUUAAUUUCUUCUUCAGGGAGCCAUGUAUUCUGCAUUGGCCCAACAGAUGGAAAAAUUCAGGAUCACAAUCCGCAUGAAAAAUCAUUUUAACAAAUAUUAAAAAAAGGAAAAUAAAUGAUCAGAUAAAUAUAUAAACCUCUUUAAACCAGUUCAAAUAGCUAAGAAAAGCACGCUACGCAAAAAGGUUCUGUAUUAUAGAAAGAUGAUUUUGAUGUGAAUCAGAUCGGGAAUGACAGUCAAAAUGAAACAGAUGAAUUGCUUGAUGACCCCAGUCAUUUGUGAUUUCCUAUAAGACUAAUGGUUAUCUUGCCUAAGUCAGAUGAAAGCAUCAACACAUGUAUACAAAUUGGGCUUCUAUAACAUCAAUAUUUUCCAAUAUUCCAAUGUUUCUGAUUUACUUCCUGGCUGCUUUUGUCAGAACGCCACCCAGUGGCAUAAUAAUGAUGCCAGGCCAUUAAAAUUGGCUGAUCCUUCCAUUGCCACUCUUACACUGGCUGACAUUUGUUAAGCUCCAUUCCCAUUAAUGUUCAUAAUUUUUAAUUUCUAUCAAAUCGUACAGGAUAAUCAUGGCUGUUGUGCAACAUUGCUGCGCCAACAAUUGAUGUCCUCACAAAGAUAGUGCAUCACUGUAAGUUGUCUUUAACAUUAAAUCAUUUAUUAUAAGCUGAGUUCUUAUGCACAUUCAUUUAUUAUUGAUAGAAAAUAAAGUCUCACCGGAAAACAACAUGCCAUGUUUUGCCUUCACAGGGAUUUGAAUGAGAAUUAGUUGCAUAAUUUGAGAUUUUAAUGCAAGAUUCUGAAUGGUUGUCAACUGCAGAAAUAACUGGCAUUUUUGUUAAAUGAGA